Molecule: ribosomal RNA, 450 nt
Filed under: uncultured bacterium
Lineage: Bacteria
Description: bacterial SSU rRNA
Rfam family: Bacterial small subunit ribosomal RNA
Source: RNAcentral
UACCCAGACUCCUACGGGAGGCAGCAGUGGGGAAUAUUGCGCAAUGGGGGCAACCCUGACGCAGCAACGCCGCGUGAUUGAAGAAGGCCUUCGGGUUGUAAAGAUCUUUAAUUGGGGACGAAAACAAUGACGGUACCCAAAGAAUAAGCUCCGGCUAACUACGUGCCAGCAGCCGCGGUAAUACGUAGGGAGCAAGCGUUAUCCGGAUUUACUGGGUGUAAAGGGCGUGUAGGCGGGACUGCAAGUCAGAUGUGAAACCCAUGGGCUCAACCCAUGGCCUGCAUUUGAAACUGUAGUUCUUGAGUGAUGGAGAGGCAGGCGGAAUUCCGUGUGUAGCGGUGAAAUGCGUAGAUAUACGGAGGAACACCAGUGGCGAAGGCGGCCUGCUGGACAUUAACUGACGCUGAGGCGCGAAAGCGUGGGGAGCAAACAGGAUUAGAUACCCGAGUA